CAGGUUUACCUGUGUGACUGCGUACCUUUUGUAUAAUGGGUCAGCGACUUAUAUUCUGUAGCAAGGUUAACCGAAUAGGGGAGCCGGAGGGAAACCGAGUCUUAAUUGGGCGUUAAGUUGCAGGGUAUAGACCCGAAACCCGGUGAUCUAGCCAUGGGCAGGUUGAAGGUUGGGUAACACUAACUGGAGGACCGAACCGACUAAUGUUGAAAAAUUAGCGGAUGACCUGUGGCUGGGGGUGAAAGGCCAAUCAAACCGGGAGAUAGCUGGUUCUCCCCGAAAGCUAUUUAGGUAGCGCCUCGUGAAUUCAUCUCCGGGGGUAGAGCACUGUUUCGGCUAGGGGGCCAUCCCGGCUUACCAACCCGAUGCAAACUGCGAAUACCGGAGAAUGUUAUCACGGGAGACACACGGCGGGUGCUAACGUCCGUCGUGAAGAGGGAAACAACCCAGACCGCCAGCUAAGGUCCCAAAGUCAUGGUUAAGUGGGAAACGAUGUGGGAAGGCCCAGACAGCCAGGAUGUUGGCUUAGAAGCAGCCAUCAUUUAAAGAAAGCGUAAUAGCUCACUGGUCGAGUCGGCCUGCGCGGAAGAUGUAACGGGGCUAAACCAUGCACCGAAGCUGCGGCAGCGACACUGUGUGUUGUUGGGUAGGGGAGCGUUCUGUAAGCCUGUGAAGGUGUGUCGUGAGGCAUGCUGGAGGUAUCAGAAGUGCGAAUGCUGACAUAAGUAACGAUAAAGCGGGUGAAAAGCCCGCUCGCCGGAAGACCAAGGGUUCCUGUCCAACGUUAAUCGGGGCAGGGUGAGUCGACCCCUAAGGCGAGGCCGAAAGGCGUAGUCGAUGGGAAACGGGUUAAUAUUCCCGUACUUGGUGUUACUGCGAAGGGGGGACGGAGAAGGCUAUGUUGGCCGGGCGACGGUUGUCCCGGUUUAAGCGUGUAGGCUGGUUUUCCAGGCAAAUCCGGAAAAUCAAGGCUGAGGCGUGAUGACGAGGCACUACGGUGCUGAAGCAACAAAUGCCCUGCUUCCAGGAAAAGCCUCUAAGCAUCAGGUAACAUCAAAUCGUACCCCAAACCGACACAGGUGGUCAGGUAGAGAAUACCAAGGCGCUUGAGAGAACUCGGGUGAAGGAACUAGGCAAAAUGGUGCCGUAACUUCGGGAGAAGGCACGCUGACACGUAGGUGAAGUGAUUUACUCAUGGAGCUGAAGUCAGUCGAAGAUACCAGCUGGCUGCAACUGUUUAUUAAAAACACAGCACUGUGCAAACACGAAAGUGGACGUAUACGGUGUGACGCCUGCCCGGUGCCGGAAGGUUAAUUGAUGGGGUCAGCGCAAGCGAAGCUCCUGAUCGAAGCCCCGGUAAACGGCGGCCGUAACUAUAACGGUCCUAAGGUAGCGAAAUUCCUUGUCGGGUAAGUUCCGACCUGCACGAAUGGCGUAAUGAUGGCCAGGCUGUCUCCACCCGAGACUCAGUGAAAUUGAACUCGCUGUGAAGAUGCAGUGUACCCGCGGCAAGACGGAAAGACCCCGUGAACCUUUACUAUAGCUUGACACUGAACAUUGAGCCUUGAUGUGUAGGAUAGGUGGGAGGCUUUGAAGUGUGGACGCCAGUCUGCAUGGAGCCGACCUUGAAAUACCACCCUUUAAUGUUUGAUGUUCUAACGUGGACCCGUUACCCGGGUUGCGGACAGUGUCUGGUGGGUAGUUUGACUGGGGCGGUCUCCUCCUAAAGAGUAACGGAGGAGCACGAAGGUUGGCUAAUCCUGGUCGGACAUCAGGAGGUUAGUGCAAUGGCAUAAGCCAGCUUGACUGCGAGCGUGACGGCGCGAGCAGGUGCGAAAGCAGGUCAUAGUGAUCCGGUGGUUCUGAAUGGAAGGGCCAUCGCUCAACGGAUAAAAGGUACUCCGGGGAUAACAGGCUGAUACCGCCCAAGAGUUCAUAUCGACGGCGGUGUUUGGCACCUCGAUGUCGGCUCAUCACAUCCUGGGGCUGAAGUAGGUCCCAAGGGUAUGGCUGUUCGCCAUUUAAAGUGGUACGCGAGCUGGGUUUAGAACGUCGUGAGACAGUUCGGUCCCUAUCUGCCGUGGGCGCUGGAGAACUGAGGGGGGCUGCUCCUAGUACGAGAGGACCGGAGUGGACGCAUCACUGGUGUUCGGGUUGUCAUGCCAAUGGCACUGCCCGGUAGCUAAAUGCGGAAGAGAUAAGUGCUGAAAGCAUCUAAGCACGAAACUUGCCCCGAGAUGAGUUCUCCCUGAGACUUAGAGUCUCCUGAAGGAACGUUGAAGACGACGACGUUGAUAGGCCGGGUGUGUAAGCGCAGCGAUGCGUUGAGCUAACCGGUACUAAUGAACCGUGAGGCUUAACCUU
This 2364-nucleotide ribosomal RNA is filed under the name Salmonella enterica subsp. enterica serovar Enteritidis. RNAcentral describes it as "partial 23S ribosomal RNA". It matches the Rfam family "Bacterial large subunit ribosomal RNA", at positions 580 to 2925 of the family's 2925-position model. The record is from RNAcentral. Lineage: Bacteria; Pseudomonadati; Pseudomonadota; Gammaproteobacteria; Enterobacterales; Enterobacteriaceae.